Carassius auratus (goldfish) is the source of this 1270-nucleotide long non-coding RNA. RefSeq lists it as uncharacterized. Lineage: Eukaryota; Metazoa; Chordata; Actinopteri; Cypriniformes; Cyprinidae. The transcript has 3 exons. The record is from RefSeq and is a predicted model, not a curated record.
AUACAGCUAACCCUACUACCACCUCUACUCUGUGUGGUUCUCUGCAAAGGCCCGGUGUACCCAGGAUGCGAUCUUCCCAGAUGUCCUUCACCCUAUUUCACAGUGUAAGACAUGAACCAGGCCCUGGGCGACGACCUCUCUCCAUCCGCCGCCUCCGGUCUUCAGGAUCUCCACCAGAACCCGAUUCGCUCCACUUCGCGAGACAGAACACAACGCUAUUCUCGCGAUCCUGAAGGGUGAGGGGAGCAUCGGAGCAGACGUGCUUCAUGCUGGGGUUAACGACAACACGCUGUGGCGCAGGACCACUUCCCACAUAUAGAUGAGGACAUGAAAGGUUCAGCAGACAUUUUGCUUUAAACGAAUGGUUAUAGUCAUGGUGUAAAGAACAGAAACUGCUUUUUGUUAAUAAUUGGAAUCUUUUCUGGGAGCGUCCUAGGCUUUUUAGAUCACCUGUUGGACAACAUCUCCAGGACACUUCGCUCCAUAUGACUAGGCAGUUUGUGAAGACAGAUAAUCAAGAGAAGUCAGUUCCAGAUCCACCUCCACACCAGACCUCCCUCUCACGAGGAUUGCUGUCUACUAGCAUAUUGUGUUCUCUUCAGACUUCGGCAGAUGCAGAUAUUAUUCAGGGACACGAACACUUGAAUAUUGAAAGAAUAGUAAGAAUUACUUAAGAUUUUAGAAUUGAAUGUUAAUUGCUUAAACAUAUAUAUAUAUAUAUAUAUAUAUAUAUAUAUAUAGAUAGAUAGAUAGAUAGAUAGAUAGAUAGAUAGAUAGAUAGAGAUAGAUAGAUAGAUAUAUAGAUAUAUUUUUGUGGCAGUGUGAACUGGCCAUAAUGCUGUAUGAUAGGUGUGAGAUUCAUUAAACUUGAUUUGCUAUAAUACAUCUGUUCAUAAGCCAUUGCAUAUUAUAUUCAAUUAAUUAUUUGUAGUGGUUUGGUUAAGGGUGUGAUUAGCUGAGAUAUUAUUGUGGGAGCUUGUGAUUAGUUGAUGAAUGUGUGCAUUGUUAAUGAUAAUAUUUAAAGGCAAUGUCCUGAGUGCUUACUAAGACGUGCAUGUUUGUGCAUAAUGUUUUGACCCUGGAUGCUUACAGAAGGGUAUAGAUAUUUAAAUAUAUGGAAAUGUAUUUAUUAUUAAUAUAUCUCAAUCUAUGUGCUUCUGUAUGGGCUGAAUGCUUUCAUUUCGCUGUAUUUCGCUGUAUAUCCUGUUUUUAUUAAUAAUCUGGGUGUAUUACUGUUGAUAUUUGCUUGUUAAUAAAUUAACUGAAUUCA